ACAAACUAAAACAGCAGGUUAAAUUUUAACCCAGGGUUAGCGCUAACCCACCUUUGAACAGCCGGCCCCAGGGGCCGGUUGUUCAAAGGUAGGUUAGCGCUAAGCUUGGGUUAAAAUUUAACCUGCUGUUUUAGUUUGU
Molecule: non-coding RNA, 139 nt
Organism: Paramuricea clavata
Lineage: Eukaryota; Metazoa; Cnidaria; Anthozoa; Malacalcyonacea; Plexauridae
Source: the annotation of a GenBank genome assembly